Molecule: ribosomal RNA, 497 nt
Filed under: uncultured bacterium
Lineage: Bacteria
Description: partial 16S ribosomal RNA
Rfam family: Bacterial small subunit ribosomal RNA
Source: RNAcentral
GAUGAACGCUGGCGGCGUGCCUAAUACAUGCAAGUCGAGCGAACAGACGAGGAGCUUGCUCCUCUGACGUUAGCGGCGGACGGGUGAGUAACACGUGGAUAACCUACCUAUAAGACUGGGAUAACUGCGGGAAACCGGAGCUAAUACCGGAUAAUAUAUUGAACCGUAUGGUUCAAUAGUGAAAGACGGUUUUGCUGUCACUUAUAGAUGGAUCCGCGCCGCAUUAGCUAGUUGGUAAGGUAACGGCUUACCAAGGCAACGAUGCGUAGCCGACCUGAGAGGGUGAUCGGCCACACUGGAACUGAGACACGGUCCAGACUCCUACGGGAGGCAGCAGUAGGGAAUCUUCCGCAAUGGGCGAAAGCCUGACGGAGCAACGCCGCGUGAGUGAUGAAGGUCUUCGGAUCGUAAAACUCUGUUAUUAGGGAAGAACAAAUGUGUAAGUAACUAUGCACGUCUUGACGGUACCUAAUCAGAAAGCCACGGCUAACUACGUG